UACAAAUUGUCUUUUGAUUAUUUCAACCACUUGUGAACCAAAAAACCUUACGCUUCGGUAGCAGGCUCAACCCUUCUGGGUCAGCUGUCAGCCUGCCGGCAGCACUUAUAACUAAACUUGUUUUAAAACUUUGUCUGAACAAAACCAUUUUCGAAUGAAAAUUA
RNAcentral lists this unclassified non-coding RNA (164 nucleotides) under uncultured Dactylella. RNAcentral's name for it is "sequence contains ITS1". The record is from RNAcentral. Lineage: Eukaryota; Fungi; Ascomycota; Orbiliomycetes; Orbiliales; Orbiliaceae.